RNAcentral lists this ribosomal RNA (305 nucleotides) under uncultured bacterium. Its description in RNAcentral is "bacterial SSU rRNA". It matches the Rfam family "Bacterial small subunit ribosomal RNA", at positions 335 to 656 of the family's 1533-position model. The record is from RNAcentral.
UGUCCUACGGGGCGCAGCAGUGGGGAAUAUUGCACAAUGGGGGAAACCCUGAUGCAGCGACGCCGCGUGGGCGAGGAAGUACCUCGGUAUGUAAAGCCCUAUCAGCAGGGAAGAAACAGGACAGUACCUGACUAAGAAGCCCCGGCUAACUACGUGCCAGCAGCCGCGGUAAUACGUAGGGGGCAAGCGUUAUCCGGAUUUACUGGGUGUAAAGGGAGCGUAGACGGCUGUGCAAGUCUGAAGUGAAAGCCCAGGGCUCAACCCUGGGACUGCUUUGGAAACUGUGGAGCUAGAGUGCUGGAGAG